This 483-nucleotide ribosomal RNA is filed under the name uncultured bacterium. RNAcentral describes it as "partial 16S ribosomal RNA". It matches the Rfam family "Bacterial small subunit ribosomal RNA", at positions 30 to 507 of the family's 1533-position model. The record is from RNAcentral.
AUUGAACGCUGGCGGCAGGCCUAACACAUGCAAGUCGAGCGGAUGAAGGGAGCUUGCUCCUGGAUUCAGCGGCGGACGGGUGAGUAAUGCCUAGGAAUCUGCCUGGUAGUGGGGAUAACGUCCGGAAACGGACGCUAAUACCGCAUACAUCCUGAGGGAGAAAGUGGGGGAUCUUCGGACCUCACGCUAUCAGAUGAGCCUAGGUCGGAUUAGCUAGUUGGUGGGGUAAAGGCCUACCAAGGCGACGAUCCGUAACUGGUCUGAGAGGAUGAUCAGUCACACUGGAACUGAGACACGGUCCAGACUCCUACGGGAGGCAGCAGUGGGGAAUAUUGGACAAUGGGCGAAAGCCUGAUCCAGCCAUGCCGCGUGUGUGAAGAAGGUCUUCGGAUUGUAAAGCACUUUAAGUUGGGAGGAAGGGCAGUAAGUUAAUACCUUGCUGUUUUGACGUUACCAACAGAAUAAGCACCGGCUAACUUCGUG